This 468-nucleotide ribosomal RNA is filed under the name uncultured bacterium. RNAcentral describes it as "partial 16S ribosomal RNA". It matches the Rfam family "Bacterial small subunit ribosomal RNA", at positions 28 to 507 of the family's 1533-position model. The record is from RNAcentral.
GACGAACGCUGGCGGCGUGCUUAACACAUGCAAGUCGAACGGAAAGGCCCUGCUUUUGUGGGGUGCUCGAGUGGCGAACGGGUGAGUAACACGUGAGUAACCUGCCCUUGACUUUGGGAUAACUUCAGGAAACUGGGGCUAAUACCGGAUAGGAGCUCCUGCUGCAUGGUGGGGGUUGGAAAGUUUCGGCGGUUGGGGAUGGACUCGCGGCUUAUCAGCUUGUUGGUGGGGUAGUGGCUUACCAAGGCUUUGACGGGUAGCCGGCCUGAGAGGGUGACCGGCCAAAUUGGGGCUGGGAUAAGGGCCAGAAUCCUACGGGGGGCAGGAGUGGGGAAUAAUGCAACAUGGGCGGAAGGCUGAUGCAGGAACGGCGCGGGCGGGGUGACGGCCUUCGGGUUGUAAACCGCUUUCGCCUGUGACGAAGCGUGAGUUAAGGUAAUGGGUAAAGAAGCACCGGCUAACUACGUG